CAAAAAAUAGUUUAAUUUAAAACUUUAAUUUUGGAGAUUAAAAAUAUAAAUUUUUUAUUUUUUUGA
This 66-nucleotide transfer RNA is filed under the name Habrobracon hebetor. RNAcentral's name for it is "tRNA-Pro". Lineage: Eukaryota; Metazoa; Arthropoda; Insecta; Hymenoptera; Braconidae. The record is from RNAcentral.